AGAGAAGCUUGCUUCUCUUGAGAGCGGCGGACGGGUGAGUAAUACCUAGGAAUCUGCCUGAUAGUGGGGGAUAACGUUCGGAAACGGACGCUAAUACCGCAUACGUCCUACGGGAGAAAGCAGGGGACCUUCGGGCCUUGCGCUAUCAGAUGAGCCUAGGUCGGAUUAGCUAGUUGGUGAGGUAAUGGCUCACCAAGGCUACGAUCCGUAACUGGUCUGAGAGGAUGAUCAGUCACACUGGAACUGAGACACGGUCCAGACUCCUACGGGAGGCAGCAGUGGGGAAUAUUGGACAAUGGGCGAAAGCCUGAUCCAGCCAUGCCGCGUGUGUGAAGAAGGUCUUCGGAUUGUAAAGCACUUUAAGUUGGGAGGAAGGGCAGUUACCUAAUACGUGAUUGUCUUGACGUUACCGACAGAAUAAGCACCGGCUAACUCUGUGCCAGCAGCCGCGGUAAUACAGAGGGUGCAAGCGUUAAUCGGAAUUACUGGGCGUAAAGCGCGCGUAGGUGGUUUGUUAAGUUGAAUGUGAAAUCCCCGGGCUCAACCUGGGAACUGCAUCCAAAACUGGCAAGCUAGAGUAUGGUAGAGGGUAGUGGAAUUUCCUGUGUAGCGGUGAAAUGCGUAGAUAUAGGAAGGAACACCAGUGGCGAAGGCGACUACCUGGACUGAUACUGACACUGAGGUGCGAAAGCGUGGGGAGCAAACAGGAUUAGAUACCCUGGUAGUCCACGCCGUAAACGAUGUCAACUAGCCGUUGGGAGUCUUGAACUCUUAGUGGCGCAGCUAACGCAUUAAGUUGACCGCCUGGGGAGUACGGCCGCAAGGUUAAAACUCAAAUGAAUUGACGGGGGCCCGCACAAGCGG
This 864-nucleotide ribosomal RNA is filed under the name Pseudomonas syringae. Its description in RNAcentral is "bacterial SSU rRNA". It matches the Rfam family "Bacterial small subunit ribosomal RNA", at positions 72 to 932 of the family's 1533-position model. Lineage: Bacteria; Pseudomonadati; Pseudomonadota; Gammaproteobacteria; Pseudomonadales; Pseudomonadaceae. The record is from RNAcentral.